CAAAUGCUGAGAUUAAAAUUCGCCACUGUGCCUGAGCCUUUGUGCAAAUCAAAUGUCCAUGCCUUAGAGAACCUGAAAGACCCGCAGAGCAGGGAGACCCUCACUCACGUCUCAGGAUAACAUGACCCCGGAAGAACUCACAGAACGGAUAGGCUCUCACCGAGAACUGCCCCCGGGCUGCAGUCCUGCCAGCGAAGGUUGGUUGGUUAAGGGUGAGAAAUCAAAGUGAAGUCCAGCUCAAAAGGAUACAGACUCCCCGAUCUGGGUGCCCGACAGACUCAUCAGACCGGCCCCGAGUUCAGCUGUCGAGAAGAGGAAGGCACAGGCAAAAGCAGACUCUGUGAAAAACCCAAGCAGCCUCACAGGGACUUUCCCUAGAGGAGAUGGCAGAGAAGAGGAAGUUCCCAACUCUGAUGCAGCUGAAGAAUUUAACUAAAGAAGCAAAGGAUAUCGUAAUAUCUGCUCAUUCUGAAAUGACUGCUAUUAAUAUUUUUCUUGUCUUAUCGUGUAACUUGUGAAGCCUGUAUUUUGUCUGUGUUUCCUCUGGAUUGGAUAAAGAAUUUGCUGUUAUGUUGCUUGUAAAACGACCUGCUUAUGUUAUGCUGACAGUAGACUUGGACUCUGAUCCUUGGUUUGAUAAUUCUGGAUUACAAGCUUUAGAAACUAUUAGUGACUUAAUUAGACCUAAGAGAUUUGUGGCCGCCUUAAUUUUAGGAAUUUCGGCAUUGAUUGCUAUCCUAACAUCCUUUGCCGUAUCCACUACGGCUUUAGUUAAAGAGAUGCAGACAGCUACUUUUGUUAAUGAAAUGCAUAGAAAUAUUUCUGUGGCAAGAAUUAAUGCCUUAGAAGAGGUGAUUUUAGAAUUAGGACAAGAUGUUGAUUCUAUUAAGACCAGGCUUGCCUCCAGAUGUCACUCUAGUUUUCAUUAUAUCUGUGUGACUCCUUUACCUUAUAAUGAAUCAGAGAAUUGGAGUAAAACUAAAGCUCAUUUCCUAGGAGUUUGGAAGGAUACAAAUAUUUCUUAUGACUUGCAACAAUUACAGGAACAGAUUACAGCCACGAGUCAGAGACAUUUAGAUGCCUGGAACGUGGAUAAACUUGCAACAUCAUUUACUAAAACAUAGAUAUCUUCCAUUUAUGUGUGGUUUACUCAUUUCUCAGUAGUGAUGUUUGAAAGAUUUAGUCUCAAGGUUCAAUGGAACUGGAUUUGGAAUGCAUUGGGGUGCUUUAAAUAGGGUUUAAUGGGCUAUCCUAGCAGAAAUAUGGAAGGCUUUGUUACUGCAAGUGAUUUGAAUUGUGCAGACCUGACCCUAGAGAUUUCGGUGGAGAAUUUCAAUAUGUGGCCAAGAAACGGUUUUUGUGGCAUUUUGGUGAAGAAUAUGGCUACUUUUUGCCCUUAUGUGGAGAGUUUGCUUAAGGCUAAGGUAAAGAGAUUCAGAUUAAUUUCAUUGACAAGAAGUCUCAAACAGAGCCAGCAGAGACUCUGUUCCCUGGUCAAGUCUCAUGAAGAGCAUUCUGAACAAGUGUAGCAAGGUUAGAAAGGGAAAAUAUAAAAUACAUGGUAUUAAAGGGGCACCAGGAAGUGAAAUGGAGCUGAAUCCUGUGCUCAAGGAUACUAAAUUAAGGGAGUGGUGUCCUUGGGGCAAGAUCCCACCCAGCCAAAUUUAGGUCCAGGUAGAGUAGCACACAGCUUUAACCCAGGAGUCCAGACCUCUGAGUUCAGGGCCAGCAUGGGACAGCAAAUUCUAGGUGAAGAAAAACUUAAAUCCAGGCUUGGUGGCCCACACUUUAAUCCCAGUGUUUAGGAGACAGGCAUGCAGCUCUGGGAGUUCAAAGUCAGUCUACAGAGCAAGUUCCAGGACAGCCACGCUUAGGCAGUGAAGGAGCUGGAAAACAAAGCUGGUAAUAAUGUAACAGAACAAGGUGGCCAUGUUCCAGCCCCAGCAAGCAGCAGAACUCAGCAGCUUUGGCCACGUGGCUCUGGCUUUAGAGUCCAGAAUACCAGAGUAGAAGGCGUUCCUGAGGGCAAUUGAUGCUGGUUAGCUGGAACUAAGGAAUUAGUGAUUGAGAAGAGACCAGCAUCACUGAGAUGAAAUCUGGAAAGUGUUUUCUGAGAGCACAAAGAAGCUGUGUUCGAGAGGAAGCCACGGUUGUACCUUGUGCUGCAGCUGUACUUGGUAAUGUGUGAGAGUCACUCAGGUGGUACUGGUUUGGAAAUUAUAAAGGAGUCACAAAGAAUAGCUGAGGCUUGGCACAGUGAAAAGCUAGGGAAGGCCACUGAUGAAGGUGCUGCCUCAGGACUGAAGGGGUCAUGCAAAGGAGUUGAGGCUUGGCAUCUAUGAGAGGCUUAUUGGUGAAGCCUAGUAAUGUUGUGCCGGGGAAAUGUUAGUGAUCUCCCAAAACCAGAUCGGAAUCAAUCUGAUGCCACUCAUAGCAGGGUCUUUAUUCUAUUCCAUGUAGCUUAGCACCGCCACCGCCACCCCCCAUGUAUCACCAUCAUGGAGCACAGUUUUGGUGGUUAUGAAAGGAAAAAAUUUAAAAUUGCCCCCCUAGACAAAAGUUGAAACCAAAAGAAAGAAAAGUAGUUGGGCCCUGGAACUGCCUGUUCUAGGAACUAGCUGACCACAGAAAGAGUAAUUACACCAGCUGAUUUCAGCCACUUUGUUCUAGGAACUAGCUAAAUUGCACCAGCUGGUUCAGAUAAUAGCAGGAUUAAAGAAUCAUGAGAAACAGGAGGUUCUUCCUUGUGAUUUGGUAUGUUUUUCCUUUAAAUGCCCCUUCUCCCAGCCAUUCGAGGUCAAACUCCUCUACCCUUGCGUGGGUAGGAGUCUCAACCCCAGCAUGCUGGUUUCUGUGGUCCCUAUCCAUAAACCUCUUGUUGAUUGCA
This is a non-coding RNA of Rattus norvegicus (Norway rat), 2887 nucleotides long. The record is from RefSeq and is a predicted model, not a curated record. NCBI's taxonomy places the organism in Eukaryota, Metazoa, Chordata, Mammalia, Rodentia, Muridae.